RNAcentral lists this long non-coding RNA (574 nucleotides) under Pan troglodytes (chimpanzee). RNAcentral's name for it is "lincRNA". The record is from RNAcentral. Lineage: Eukaryota; Metazoa; Chordata; Mammalia; Primates; Hominidae.
GAGUCAGACCUAGGCUCUCGCAGGGAACUGCAUCGCGCUCCCAGCUCUGCUGCCUCGGUGCGGGGACGGGGCUCUGCAUGAGGACUGGGAAUGUAAGUCCCGGGCCUGGACAGGCGCCCCUGGGAGCUAGCCUGGAGGAGAUCCAGUAGAAGGCUGAGGAGUCGGCUUGGAGGGUCUCGGCAAGGCCGCGCGGAUGGAGAUGAAGCUGCGAAGAAUGCUGAGAAAGGGGGGCCGGGGGCCUUGGAGGGAAGCUAGGGAAACGCUGCGGGGGCAGCCGAGGCCGCCGGCGCCCCGGGAGAAGAGACCUUCACUGCUUCUAUCAGUCACCAUAUCUGAAUCUUGGCUUGCCACUCAAUCCUCCAAUAUCGACCAACAACAGGAGAUUCUAUCUGAGGGGGGAGGUGUUUCCCUGACUAGACUCUAAAUACAAAUCCUCCACUUCUCCAUCUGUCUCUCCAGUGAUCUCAGAGGCAUGGUCUUAACACCGUGCACAGUUCCUUGCAAGUUGAAGAGUAGACCCAAAUCAUCAGUUCUAAAAUUCUAUUCUUAUUGAAGAUUACUGGUGGAAAUAUCA